AUCGAACGCUGGCGGCAGGCCUAACACAUGCAAGUCGAGCGGAGCGGCGGACGGGUGAGUACUGCCUAGGAAGCUGCAUGGUAGUGGGGGAUAACGUCCGGAAACGGGCGCUAAUACCGCAUACUAUCAGGUGAGUCUCGGUCGGAUUAGCUAGUUGGUGGGGUAAAGGCCUACCAAGGCGACGAUCAGUAACUGGUCUGAGAGGAUGAUCAGUCACACGGGAACUGAGACACGGCCCAGACUCCUACGGGAGGCAGCAGUGGGGAAUAUUGGGCAAUGGGCGAAAGUCUGAUCCAGCAAUGCCGCGUGUGUGAAGAAGGUCUUCGGAUUGUAAAGCUCUUUAGGUUGAGAGGCGUUACCAACAGAAAAAGCCCCGGCUAACUUCGUGCCAGCAGCCGCGGUAAUAC
Molecule: ribosomal RNA, 407 nt
Filed under: uncultured bacterium
Lineage: Bacteria
Description: partial 16S ribosomal RNA
Rfam family: Bacterial small subunit ribosomal RNA
Source: RNAcentral